UUUUUUGAACAACGGCUGAUGAAUAUCAAAAUUCAAUAUCUACAGCAAAAAAAAAAACUUAAAACAACCCAAUUUUUUCACAUAAGCUAGUCACCAUCUCUCUCUAUAUAUAUGCAUAUACACACAUGUAUGCAAGAUAUGAUGAGAUAUAAAGAAACAGUUAGCUUUCCCUGACUCCCAUGAAGACAAUGACCCAACAUCACCACCAUCAUCAUCAUUCAUCAUUUACCAUCAUCAUAACCAUCUCUUGUUGUUUGUCCCUUCUUUUAACCACUUGCUAAUACCUAGUGGCUACAUCCAGCUGCUUCUCCCUUUUCUAUAAAUUACUGUUCUUCACUUAUACUUUCAGCACUACUAGGUUUGGGAAGGUUCAAAAGAAGACCUAGCUAGGGUUUUCAGAAAGCUCAAAAAAUCUGAGCUGGUGAAAUCUCAGUUGAGAUCCGUUGUAAGAGCUCUCUUUUCAUCACUUUAUACCAUUAGUUUUGACUUGCUUGAGAUCUAAUCCCUUAUUGUUAUGUUUUAUUCCGGAUUUAGGUUUUUUCUCUUUACCUCGUUUUAUAAAUGAUCUGAUUCUAUAUAAUUCUAUCACCGUCUAUAUGGCUUACUUUGGAUCUAAUAUUUUUUCUUCUGCCAACAAAGGAAAAAAGAGAGGCUCUCUUCAUUUCUGGUUUUAGGGUUUUUUUUCUUGUGUUCAUGAUUCAAUUUUUUUAAUGAUUCAAGAAUUUUUUGUUUGGCAAUGUUGUACGAUUGUGCAUGGCUGAUGAGUACAUUUCUUCUAGUUUCUGUAGAGGUUUUAUUGUUUACUCCUAAUUGAAAACAGUAUACUAUCUCUGAUUUUGGAAUCAAAUCUCUUGCCCAAACCCUCCAGAAACUGAGGAUCUCUUGAGAAGGUUGAAUAUCUCUUGGUCAAAAAGCUUGUAGUGGGUUAAACAAAUUAUGUUUGUUUAAUUAUCUUUGUAUUUUAUUUUUUCUUCUCAUGAUCUGCAGUGACUGGAGGAAUCUUUUCACACAUGUACUGGACAUGUUUCCUUAUUUCGGCCUUUGUCUCUCUCCUGGUAGCUUCUCUUGACAAGACCCAUCAAUGGUCUUUCUUAUACAGUAAAGCUUGCUUCUUUCUGCGAAGUUUCAAACAUAUCGCUCAGCAUCCAAACCUUGUAAGUUAAUUCAUAUAUACAUGUAUAUACAUACAUUAUUUAACAUUCUACUUCACCGCUGAUAAAGUUAUAAAUACAUUCAAAUACCAUUUCAAACUAAAGUACAUAGGAGGCUUUCUUAGUUGGUCAAAUUUGUCUUGUUGUCGAUGGCCCAUUAUGACCAGUAAGUGCAUGUGCGUGAAACUAUAUUCCAUCCCUGUGUUUUCUUCUGUAAAAACCCAAACCUGCUUUUUAUAUGUGUGUGGCCCUUAAGUGCUUCAAUCAUACAUCUAUGAAGCAAGAUUGAAAUAGAUAGAUAUAGAAGGAGAUUCUUUCAGUCCAGUCAUGGAUAGAACAAGAAGAGGGUAGGAAUAUCUGCCGACUCAUUCAUCCAAACACUGAUGGUAAAAGGAUGAGAUUUCGACCAUAGUGACUGUAUGAAUGAUGCGGGAGAUGUUUUCAUCUCUCUUUAUCUGUGUUUGGACUGAAGGGAGCUCCUUCUUUCUCUAUUUAGUUCUUUUCUCAUGAUCUUUCAAUAUAUCAAAACAAAUUUGCAUUUUAGGACGUUAAUCAAGUUCAAAAUUGACAUCGAAUUGGAUAGAGAUUUACACUUUUUACCUCUCUCUAAUUAAGGAGUAUAUAUAUAUAUAUAUAUAUAACCAAGGUGAUUUAGUAGCUGAUGUCAAACAAUCUAGCUAGUGUUAUAUUCAAAGGUAUAGUCAUAUUUACAAGUACCCAAUUUCUCCCAUGGAUAUAUAUAAUACAUGCUAAGCUGUAACGAUAAACUCGUGUACUUCUUGUUUUUGGGAAUUGAAAUGACGACAUCAAAUGGGGAGAGAGAUUUUGUUCUUGCCUUAUUCAUGUUUUGUAAAAUAAGUAACUUUGUACUUGUAAUUUUUAUGUUCCCAAUGACUGGAGAUGGAGCAGGAAUGGUUUACAACGUAACUUCGUCGUUGUUUGCAUUCAGACGACAAUAUAUUAAAUUUUAUAGUAUUUGAAUUGACUACUUCUCUGGUUUUAAGAGUUAGAUUUCAACUUUUUAUUUUAUAUAUUGCAGAAUUUUGUAUAUUUUCCAUUUGGUUCGUA
Long non-coding RNA from Raphanus sativus (radish), 2219 nucleotides. RefSeq lists it as uncharacterized. The record is from RefSeq and is a predicted model, not a curated record. Lineage: Eukaryota; Viridiplantae; Streptophyta; Magnoliopsida; Brassicales; Brassicaceae. The transcript has 2 exons.